AGGGUUUGAUUAUGGCUCAGGAUGAACGCUAGCGAUAGGCCAAACACAUGCAAGUCGAGGGGCAGCAUAGGGUAGCAAUACUUUGAUGGCGACCGGCGCACGGGUGAGUAACGCGUAUGCAACCUACCUAUAACAGGGGAAUAACCCGGAGAAAUUCGGACUAAUACCGCAUAAAACAGGGGCUCCGCAUGGAGAUAUUUGUUAAAGAUUUAUCGGUUAUAGAUGGGCAUGCGUUCCAUUAGCCAGUUGGUGAGGUAACGGCUCACCAAAGCAACGAUGGAUAGGGGAACUGAGAGGUUUGUCCCCCACACUGGAACUGAGACACGGACCAG
RNAcentral lists this ribosomal RNA (332 nucleotides) under uncultured bacterium. RNAcentral describes it as "bacterial SSU rRNA". It matches the Rfam family "Bacterial small subunit ribosomal RNA", at positions 8 to 334 of the family's 1533-position model. The record is from RNAcentral.